GGUUGUAACUCAGUGGUAGAAUGCUUGCCUUGCAUGUGUGAGGCCCUGGGUUCAAUUCUCAGCACCG
This 67-nucleotide transfer RNA is filed under the name Marmota monax (woodchuck). RNAcentral's name for it is "tRNA.Ala". Lineage: Eukaryota; Metazoa; Chordata; Mammalia; Rodentia; Sciuridae. The record is from RNAcentral.